Alosa alosa (allis shad) is the source of this 736-nucleotide long non-coding RNA. RefSeq lists it as uncharacterized. The record is from RefSeq and is a predicted model, not a curated record. The transcript has 3 exons. Lineage: Eukaryota; Metazoa; Chordata; Actinopteri; Clupeiformes; Clupeidae.
UUUGUUUCAGGUAAGCCUAUUUGCUUCAACUAUAUUAGAAUGAAAUACAUUAUUUUUGCUUUCAUAUAAUGUUAAUGGAUCCUUUUGACGUUUACGCUACUUUAAACUGGUCUUGGACAAUUAGCUAACGUUAGCUUUUGGGGUAAGCAAGGGUUAAUGAAAUGUUCAUUUUAUCCAUGUACAAAUUAAUUUAGCAACGCUUUUUAUCCGAAGCGACUUAAUUUGGUCAAUUUACUUGUUACUUCAGGGCUAGUCUCCCUUAGAGCAACUUGGGCUGAGAUUUUAACACACAAUUUCCAGGUUAGCAUGCUAGCCUGAUUUCUUAACCGCUACCGCAUCCUCUGUAAGCCAGAAAAUAAUUGAGAUGUGUUCUAUGUAGUGAGAUACGUGUUUGUAUGUUAAAAUAAUGAUUUUAUACAGUUAGGCGUGUAUCCAAGUAUCAAAUGAUGAAUCAUGCCUUCUCCCUCCGCCCCCGUCUCUUCAGCCCCAGGACCGAGGCGUUCAGGUGGCGUGACUGGCGUGCCCUGUCUGCAAUCCUCCCUUUCACCCCAGGACCGAGGCGUUGAGGUGGCGUGACUGGCGUGAAUUCGGCGUGCCCUGUCUGCAAUCCUGCCUUUCAGUAAGGGGCAGUAAGGACAAGAUCCACCCACCACCCAGUGCAUGCUACAUAUGUGUGUGUAAUAAAUUGAGAGGGUGUGUGAUAAAUGAAAUUUAAUAAAGUAAGUACAAUUUUGAA